GAUACAAACGACACUGCAUGCACGAACAACACUCAAAUGACGCCGACCGCCACCUCCGCACGAGACAG
This 68-nucleotide non-coding RNA is filed under the name Pessonella sp. PRA-29. Lineage: Eukaryota; Discosea; Flabellinia; Vannellidae. The record is from RNAcentral.